GACAGAGGAGCCAAGCGUUGUCCGGACUGACUGGGCGUAAAGCGCCCGCAGGCGGCCGUGCACGUGGGGUGUGAAAGCUCGCGGCUUAACUGCGAGAGGCCAUCCCAUACGGCGCGGCUCGAGCCGUCCAGAGGCCGGUGGAAUUGCCGGUGUAGUGGUGGAAUGCGUAGAUAUUGGGAGGAACACCAGUGGCGAAGGCGACUUUCUGGACUGUGUCUGACACUGAGGCGCGAAAGCUAGGGGAGCGAACGGG
Molecule: ribosomal RNA, 253 nt
Filed under: uncultured bacterium
Lineage: Bacteria
Description: partial 16S ribosomal RNA
Rfam family: Bacterial small subunit ribosomal RNA
Source: RNAcentral